Molecule: transfer RNA, 88 nt
Filed under: Blumeria hordei DH14
Lineage: Eukaryota; Fungi; Ascomycota; Leotiomycetes; Helotiales; Erysiphaceae
Also listed under: 1 other name
Description: tRNA-Ser for anticodon CGA
Rfam family: tRNA
About the family: Transfer RNA (tRNA) molecules are approximately 80 nucleotides in length. Their secondary structure includes four short double-helical elements and three loops (D, anti-codon, and T loops). Further hydrogen bonds mediate the characteristic L-shaped molecular structure. tRNAs have two regions of fundamental functional importance: the anti-codon, which is responsible for specific mRNA codon recognition, and the 3' end, to which the tRNAs corresponding amino acid is attached (by aminoacyl-tRNA synthetases). tRNAs cope with the degeneracy of the genetic code in two manners: having more than one tRNA (with a specific anti-codon) for a particular amino acid; and 'wobble' base-pairing, i.e. permitting non-standard base-pairing at the 3rd anti-codon position.
Source: Rfam by way of RNAcentral
GUCAAGUUGCCAGAGUGGUUAAUGGGUAUGACUCGAAAGACGAUAUCAUAUGACUUCGGUCGCACAGGUUCAAAUCCUGUACUUGACG